RNAcentral lists this ribosomal RNA (448 nucleotides) under uncultured cyanobacterium. RNAcentral's name for it is "bacterial SSU rRNA". It matches the Rfam family "Bacterial small subunit ribosomal RNA", at positions 28 to 524 of the family's 1533-position model. Lineage: Bacteria; Bacillati; Cyanobacteriota. The record is from RNAcentral.
GAUGAACGCUGGCGGCGUGCUUAACACAUGCAAGUCGAACGAACCUCCGGGUUAGUGGCGGACGGGUGAGUAACGCGUGGGAAUCUGCCCUCAGGAGGGGGAUAACGGCUGGAAACGGCCGCUAAUACCCCAUACGCCGAGAGGUGAAAUGAAUUUCGCCUGAGGAUGAGCCCGCGUCUGAUUAGCUAGUUGGUGAGGUAAGAGCUCACCAAGGCAUCGAUCAGUAGCUGGUCUGAGAGGAUGAUCAGCCACACUGGGACUGAGACACGGCCCAGACUCCUACGGGAGGCAGCAGUGGGGAAUUUUCCGCAAUGGGCGAAAGCCUGACGGAGCAACGCCGCGUGAGGGAUGAAGGCCUCUGGGCUGUAAACCUCUUUCUCAAGGAAGAAGAUCUGACGGUACUUGAGGAACAAGCCUCGGCUAAUUCCGUGCCAGCAGCCGCCGUAAU